RNAcentral lists this long non-coding RNA (657 nucleotides) under Capsicum annuum. RNAcentral describes it as "long non-coding RNA (CANN_LNC014643)". The record is from RNAcentral. Lineage: Eukaryota; Viridiplantae; Streptophyta; Magnoliopsida; Solanales; Solanaceae.
CCACUCUCGAUCUUUUCUUUACUGUGUGCAUGUGUGUGCUUUUUCCGAUGUGAAUUAGUAAUGGGUGUGUAUCAUUAGAUCUCCCAGUGUGUGUGUGUAUAGCAUCGUGAAGAAGCUCCCUACUGUGUGUGUGUGGAAAUCUGUGUAUUCUCUGAAGAAUAAGGAGGCUGGAGAAGAAGAUAAAGGGGAUAUUUAGUUUUCUUUUAAAAAAAAUAUUAUAAUUCUUUUUAAAUUAUAAUUUAAUUAGUUAUAAAAAAAUUAAAUUAUUUUUGGAUUUUAAUGCUACGUGUCACCUUUUAAUUCGUCAUUUUUGCCACAUCAGCGCUUGUGUGUUGCACACUUGAGCUUUUUGCUGAUUGUCCAGAAAAGGUUUGACUGGAUCAAAUUUCAGGCGGGUUAAGGGUUUGAUAGGUACAGGACUUAGUUGAGGGGUCUAAAAGAAUUUUUGGGACAACUUUAAGUGUCUGGCAAUGACUUUAUUCAAAACUCCUUUACAUAUCAAAGAAGUGAAUCUGAAAUUGUAAAUAUUUUUCUUGAAUUGUUUAUAGAGGCCGAUCAAGAAAUCUCUAUUUUGGCUUUUGGUACUGCUAUGAAAGGCUACAAUAAGUUGCAGAAGUAUAGCAACACUAUUGUGUUGUAUAAGAUAACGAGAUCAGC